RNAcentral lists this ribosomal RNA (270 nucleotides) under uncultured archaeon. RNAcentral describes it as "partial 16S ribosomal RNA". It matches the Rfam family "Archaeal small subunit ribosomal RNA", at positions 477 to 747 of the family's 1478-position model. The record is from RNAcentral.
CAGCCCCUCGAGUGGUGGGGAUGAUUAUUUGGCCUAAAGCGUCCGUAGCCGGCCGUGUAAGUCCCCCGUUAAAUCCAGCGUCUCAAGCGUUGGACUGCGGGAGAUACUGCUCGGCUAGAGAGUGGGAGAGGUGUGCGGUAUUCUGGGGGUAGGGGCGAAAUCCUUUGAUCCCCGGAGGACCACCAGUGGCGAAGGCUGCACACUAGAACACGUCUGACGGUCAGGGACGAAAGCUGGGGUAGCGAACCGGAUUAGAGACCCGAGUAGUCC